UACGUAGGGUGCGAGCGUUGUCCGGAAUUAUUGGGCGUAAAGGGCGCGUAGGCGGCCUGCUAAGUCGGAUGUGAAAUCCCUCAGCUUAACUGGGGAACUGCGUGUGAUACUGGAUGGCUUGGAUUUGGGGAGAGGGAUGCGGAAUUCCAGGUGUAGCGGUGAAAUGCGUAGAUAUCUGGAGGAACACCGGUGGCGAAGGCGGCAUCCUGGACCAAUAUUGACGCUGAGGAGCGAAAGCUAGGGGAGCAAACGGG
Molecule: ribosomal RNA, 254 nt
Filed under: uncultured bacterium
Lineage: Bacteria
Description: partial 16S ribosomal RNA
Rfam family: Bacterial small subunit ribosomal RNA
Source: RNAcentral